Molecule: ribosomal RNA, 366 nt
Filed under: Triticum aestivum (bread wheat)
Lineage: Eukaryota; Viridiplantae; Streptophyta; Magnoliopsida; Poales; Poaceae
Description: partial small subunit ribosomal RNA
Source: RNAcentral
GUAGCUCGGGUAAUCCGGAGGACGGUGGGAUGUGUUUUGGGCACUGAAUUAUGCCCCAACAACAUUUGGCAAUACUUUCCUUGGUGCUACGUUUUCCUUCCUGAUGGGGCAAAAUUCUACACAUUUGGGCUGGCGACCAUGUGUUGGGCAAUCUGGAACAGCCGCAACCAAGCUACCUUUGAAAGAAAAAAAUUGAGAACUCCUUUUGAUAUUGUGUUCUCUGCUUGUGGAUAUAUCACUUACUGGGCAGGGUUGAUGAGUGAAGCUGAUCGAGAAGCGAUGGAACAUGGAGCCAAGAUGCUGAGGACCAAUGCCUCGACAAUGAUGAGGAUUUGCACGGCGCCAGGUGGGGUAAUGGAAGACUGA